AGGGGCCGUGGCUCAAUGGAAGAGGGUCUGCUUUGAGAGCAGAAGGUCCCAGGUUCAAUCCCUGGUGCCUCUA
Rhineura floridana is the source of this 73-nucleotide non-coding RNA. The record is from the annotation of a RefSeq genome assembly. NCBI's taxonomy places the organism in Eukaryota, Metazoa, Chordata, Lepidosauria, Squamata, Rhineuridae.